AUUAAUCUGGCAGAUAAGUGUAUUAGAUUUAGAAUCUAAAAAUGAAGUUGUAGCACUUCGAUUAAUG
RNAcentral lists this transfer RNA (67 nucleotides) under Tachypleus gigas (Indo-Pacific horseshoe crab). RNAcentral's name for it is "tRNA-Leu". It matches the Rfam family "tRNA". From Rfam's summary of the family: Transfer RNA (tRNA) molecules are approximately 80 nucleotides in length. Their secondary structure includes four short double-helical elements and three loops (D, anti-codon, and T loops). Lineage: Eukaryota; Metazoa; Arthropoda; Merostomata; Xiphosura; Limulidae. The record is from RNAcentral.